This 621-nucleotide long non-coding RNA is filed under the name Gossypium raimondii (Peruvian cotton). RNAcentral's name for it is "long non-coding RNA (GRAI_LNC011214)". Lineage: Eukaryota; Viridiplantae; Streptophyta; Magnoliopsida; Malvales; Malvaceae. The record is from RNAcentral.
CGCAAGAAUUGUUUCAUCCUCUCCCCUGCUCUUCACGCCAAAAUCCCCCUUUCAACUUCGAUUUGGAUGAAUCGAAACAAAGAUGUCGAUGGCGCGCCACCAUUGGUAAGAAUCUUCCCUCCUUCUCUUUUCUUUUAUUUAUUAUUUUUUUUUAAAAACCAGUAGAAAAAUGAAACAAAAAGCAGUAAAAAAACCGAAUAAAUAAAUCACUUUCGACAAUUGUUUUCUUUUUCUUUCGUAUUUUCGCAUUCUCUCAAUACAAUCGGUCCCUAUUUUACAAAAUAAAACGGCUUUAUAUAGCCCUAAAAAGAAAAAUAAAUCGAAUAUAAUUGCUAUUUUUUUGUUGUUUCUUCUCUUUCAGACUCUUUGAGUUCGUGCUUGUAGGUGUUUGUGGAGCGCACGUGGAGGAGUCGGCCCCGAGACGUGCGGCGGCUGGAGGCUUUGCUGGAAGCGGGGAGGCCGAUGCUAGGGUUUCUUAACCCUUCCUUUUCCAUUAAUUUCGGGCCUGGGUUAGGAAUUAGCUAUUGGGCCCGUUAUUGGAUUUGUAACAAAAUUGGACUAAAACAUUAGCCUUUGUUUCUGUUUGGUUUUUAUUUAUUUAACGGGCUUGGCAGAAAUUGG